GAUACAGAAAAAACUAAAAAUUAAAUUUUAUCAAUUUGUAAAACAAUGUAAAAGUCAAAAUUUAACACAUAUCUAAUAUUAAAUAUAAAUUUUACGUGUAACAAACAAAAGGGAGUCAUGGCCAAGCCAAGAGGAUGGACGGUGGAGGUGAGCAGAAAGCAACUUCAGAACAGUGCUCUGUACAGCGUGGAUCGUUCGAAAGUCAUGGAAGUCGACCUGGACGCUGUAGAAACUCAGGUUCAAAAGACUCUCUGCGAAUCGGACACGACCAUCAGUGAUUUUGACUCCACCGAAGUUUAUAAAAUUGGUAACGAUUCUUCAGUCACAAGCUUUGGCGAUAACAUCAAGCAGAAAAGUGAUUUGGAUUCGGAUAAAAUAAUGCAGUACCCGAAUGCAUAUCCAUAUGACGCUAAUCCAGUCGUUUCUGGCCUGGAGCAUGACAAGAAAAGGCUGAAAGCGUGGAUGUCAAGUACGACGAUGGCGAUAUCACAGAAAGUGAAAAGUCUGGUAAACGUUCAAAGAAAGCUCCUCGAGAAAUCCAGCUCGGUAGAGAAAACGGUAGAGAGUACGCCGAAUCUCCUGGUUUCGGAUAUGUCGACAGAGUUGUCUUCCGAGCCGAAAUCCAUCGAUCUGCAGACCCUCGUCAAGCCGACUAUCAAGCCUACCAAAUGCUAUUUAGAGUUUACUGAAAUGUCGACCACCCCGACAGGCGCUCUCUCUUCUCUCGAUCCGUUCGUUAUCGGAAAAGCGAUAGACGUUAUGAAAGCCAUGAGCGAUUCAGAUUGGGACAAAGUCAAGCACUUGUACGAAAUGUUCAAAAGAGCGGGUAGACUCGAUCAGUUGAUUAUAUACGAAUUCGCUAUAAAAAUAAUCGUAAACACGCGCGGGAAGUCGGGGGUGGUGGACGUGCUGAGGGACAUCGACGGUGAUCUAGCCGAAGCGGCGUUCAGAUUCGGCAAAACCCUUUUGAGCCUUUACCACGGCAGUUUCCUUCUGUCUGAAGGUGUCGAAACGCGAAAGCCGCCGAAAAAAGAAGAGGUGGCCGUAGUCGAACCCAUCCCAGCGGAAAAAGAAGAGCAGGCGAAAAAAGUGCCAAAUCGAGGAGCUCAGAUACCCGAGAACGUGCGGCAGAGUUAUGAAAACCCGAAAAAGGAACAGGGCCCGAGACGUUCCUCAUAUGCGUAUCUCUUUAAAGAUGCAGCCGCGGCGCAGAAAAACCAGAAGAAAAACAAUCAGUGCACCAACGUGACAAAGAAGAAUACCACGACGACGUUCAAACGGACGAACACACGGCGUAAUUCACCAAGUGGCAAACCUCCUGUAAUAAGGAAUGUCAACCCAAAAUACGCCCACGUCAAAUCGCGAUAUCGCGAAGCUGCCGCUAAAUUGGGCAGCCAACCGACUACAGCGGUGAAAAAGGUGUCGAGGAAGCAGCCGCUUAAUGUUACCGGCCCGACGACGAAAAGAAUCACAUCAAAAACGGCGAAAAUCACCAAUGUUAAGGAAUGCCGUACGUUCAAACCACAGGUUAAUUCUGUGGACGAUACGCCGCCGACACCUCGCGUCUCGCCGACCAGUUCUGUCCUGAGCACGCCCGACUCGAAUAUGGACUCGACGACGAGGAGCUUCAACAACAACCAAACAGUCAAUUCGGACGCAACUGAACGACAGUUCCUCGCAAAAGAUCUCUCCGACACUAACGUCCUCGCAGAUAAAUUCAAAGAUUUGGUCAAGAAAGUCGUCAGCGAAGAACGGUUACUGAACCGGACACACGAAGCCUUGGGCGGAUUGAUAGAACCGGCCACUCCGAACCCGGAGUCGACCGAUUACGAGGAUCCAGAGUCGUCCUACAUCAUCGACGGCCCGAUUUACAAAGGUCCUACUGGCGAUUAUACCCAUGCGAAAAUAGAAUUCGACUCGAAACCGAAAGAGCCUGUCGUCAGCAGUCCGCACGAUGACGGCGACAACCCGACCAUACCCGUCGUCAAAUCCAGAAGCGAACCAAAUCUUCUUGACAAGAACAAGUCUGAAGAAAAAUAUUGUUUAGUUACUGAUAAUGAUGGUUCGGAGUCCAACUUUUCCGUCACAACGUUGUACAAUUAUUUCUCUUUAGGCAACUGCCCAACUUGAGACCUUUCAUAAUAGACAGACUAUUGAUGAACGUGCUACUUGCCUAUCUUCUGGCCGUGACUGGAGGUGCGCUCUGCGCUGACGACUCCAAAAGCCUGUACUGCACACUUUCUCUCACUCUCAAAGGAAAACUACGGACGAUGCUUAUACGAGCACUCCGUCUGGUAGAUGACUUCUGAGAGCGGAUUUCAACUCGAGGUCCUGCUGCUUGUAAGGAAGUUUGUCCACUCGUGUCUGGACAAUGAAGGAAAAUAGCGCUAGCGGCCCAAGCGGCGUUUCACCAUCGCUCCCUGAAAAACAUAACAAAUCAUCAUUAUUGGUUAAAAAUUUUAUUUUAGUCCAGUCUCUUUAUAUAUUAAAUAUAUAA
RNA transcript from Cimex lectularius (bed bug), 2497 nucleotides. RefSeq lists it as uncharacterized. The transcript has 5 exons. NCBI's taxonomy places the organism in Eukaryota, Metazoa, Arthropoda, Insecta, Hemiptera, Cimicidae. The record is from RefSeq and is a predicted model, not a curated record.